CACAGGUUUGAGGACCAACAUAAAAAGCACCUCGGACAUUAUUACGGCCUACGUGUUUAGAGUAUAUUGUGUGAUGGUGUAAGUUUUUACCAUCUCAUAUACCACUCUGAUUAGGCUCUGUGUACAAACCUUACUCAGUUUAGGCCUGUCAUAAGGAGGAUGUCUGUCCAUGGUGCACAUGACGAUGCGGUCCGUGAAGCCCUCUUGCCUCAGCGUCUCCGCACACACCAGACCUGCUGGACCUGCACACAUCAAUCAUCACUCAGAUCUUUGACAUGGCAGACGGAGGCCUCCACGUAGUCCCGUGAUUUGUGGUACGCUUGGAGAGGGGUGGAGUCGUCGUCCGAGCUGUGCCCCAGGGCCCCAUUUGGCCUGCAGUCCGCAAAGGGACUUGCCUUGCCAUUAGGAACAGAUCUCAGCUAAAAGAGGCAGCCCAAACUCGAAUUGAGGACAAAUCAAGUGUGACAACUCCUUCAGUGAAACAAAUGGAAGAUGGGAUAAGGUGUCUGGACUAAUUUAAAGGGCAAAAAUGCCUUCUUUCUUGCUUUUUUUCUCAUUCAUUCCACAGUCUUAAAGCUCAUGAACUGUCUUCUAAGCAGCAAAACAUUUAACAUGGGAAUAUUUUAGUGCUGUCAAACAAUUUUGAAUUUGUAAUCAGAUUAAUUACAAUGAAUCACAAUUAGACAUAUUAUUCAUUUUCAUAUAUAUUAAUGGUGAUUUUGCAUGUGCAAAUAGACUCAAAAAAGAGGGUAAAAUACAGUGGAACCUCGAUUCACAAACUUAAUUGGUUCUAAAACAGGGUUCGUAAAUUGAAAAUUUCAUAUAGCGAUGCACAAUACUCCAUAAGAAACAAUGCAAAUAUAAAUAAUGGGUUCCAGCCUCAAUAAAAGUCCAUAUUUAUGUGGUUUGUACACUUUGAACACAUGAAGUGCUAUACAGAAUUAUAUAUCAAAGAAACAUAACAAGGGGGUGAUGGAUCAACUUUAGAUUUAGUAACAGGCCAAAACGACGACAACUGUGGCAGGGGACAGUGGCAGCGAUUAUCUUUUCAAACGCUGGUCUUUUUUGGCGAUGUACAUCCAUUUUCUUCUUUACAUUGUUCCUGAUGCCCAACCUUUUUUUUUAAAAUUAUUUUUAGCCUAUGUGCGGUUUUCUGUAGCAGGAGAAAGAAACUCCUCCUUCUGAGUUAUCAAUGGGCAGCGCUUGCUGUUCUCAAUCACAUGGCUACUUUCAAUAUGGUUUGCAUAUAUAUAAAGGAGCGAGGUCUGGGUGUGCAAAUCUAGGCAGACAUCUGCGGUUGAUUCCAAGUAGAUUGUGAUGUAACAAAUGAAUAUGCUUGGAUUUUUGCGUGCGAACACUUUCAUACAUCUGAAGUUUUACUGACGUACGCCAUUUCCUGGAUUUGUUAGUACGUCCAUAUUUCGUAGGAAAGCCACGCAACUCUCUGAACAUGAGGCCCUUGUUCUACAGAAUGUACAUAGUACUUUACAUGACUGUUCAGUCAUGUUUUUUUGUACUCAUAUUUCGGAUAGAGAGGAUCACAUUGACAGCAGCCUGUCAUUACCGAAUCAACUGCACAUUUGUGACAGUAACACUACUUGGACAAACUGCCUGAAGUGCAUUGCUGGAGACGAUAAGGGAUUUUGAGGAAUUAUUCGCAGCAGAUGUGUCAAUGACAUUACAUGUUUUAAUGAAAUUAAUAAUAACAAAUGAAUCCGUAUUAAAACAUUCCUUUUUGACAGCCUUAAAAUAUUUAUAUAUUUAAAUUAAGUCUAUUUAAAUGUAAAUUGUAUUAUCUAAAUGUCAUUUUAAUGAUAGUAUAGUACAAUUUAGCAAACUAUAUAUGAACUAUGGUUGACUCGAUACCAAUAUUUUGGUACCGGUACCAAAAUGUAUUUUGAUGCUUUUCAAUACUUUUUUUAAAUAAAGGGGACCUAAAAAAAAUUGCAUUAUAGGCUUUGUUUUAACACAAAAAAAUUAUGGUACAAUAAACAUGUUUCUUAUUGCAAUCGAAGAAUAAUCUUGUCAUUAAAUAAAAUAGUGAACAUAGUCUCCUGAAACUGCGGAAGUUAGUUUGCUUAAAAGAAACAUCAGUUUUUCUGACUUUUAAUAGUAAGUAAACAAACAAAGGCUCCUAAUUUGUCUGCUGACGUAUGCAGUAACAUAUUGUGUCAUUUCUCAUUCUAUUAUUUUAUCAAAAUUAUAAAGAACAAGCUGUAAAAACUGAUUACUAAUAUACUUGUUAAUUUACUGGUCAUAUCUGGUUAUUUUUAGUCUCAACAUCAUCUAUCUACACUUCUGUUAAAAUGUAAUAAUCACUUAUUCUUCUGUUGUUUGGAUACUUUACAUCAGUUUUGGAUGAUACCACAAAUUUAGGUAAUGAUCCGAUACCAAGUCGUUAAAGGGUCAUACAUUGUUCAUAAUUUAAGUUCUCAUGUGUCCAGGGACAGUGUAUGAAUAUAAUAUGAAUUUAAAAAUAAACUUUUUUUUCCCCGAUAAAAAAUACUAAUGUAAUCAUAGUAGUAUCGAUUAGAUACGCUCUUGUACUUGGUAUCAUUACAGUGGAUGUUAGGUGUAGAUCCACCCAUGGCGUUUGUUUACAUCGUGACGCCGGUGAGCUAUUGUAUCCUAUUCCUCGUCCUGCAGGGAUGAUACUUGUAAGAAACGUACUUUAUUUGUUGCCAUGGAGGCGAGGAUAAGUAAUUUAGAAGUAGCUACAACACUGCCCAUUGCGGAUGGACAUUAGCCGCUAACUCGCUGGCCAGGUUUUAAAGCACAUCUACCGGAGGGUAUUUCAGUGUUAUAGCUUCACCUUUAUCGUUAGUUUUUAAGCCAAAAUGCGUCUGUCUACACACUGUGUCUGGUUGUAAGUACUCAGUGAUUGUGCGCUGCCGAAGAAGCUCAUCUGCUCGUAAAGCCAGCAAUGUCAUGACGUGACAACGACUUGCCGUCAUGCCUGAAAAAAAAAAAAUAUAUAUAUAUAUAUAUGGCGAACCGGUACUUUUCAAACAGAGUAUAGUACCGUUUUUGAUUCAUUAGUAUCGCGAUACUAUACUAGUACCGGUAUACCGUACAAGCCUAAUAUUAACGAUGUGAUUUCUUCCUUAAUGCAAAGAUUGAGGACAAUAUCUACACAUAAUUCAAUUAAAAAUGUGAUCCCAUUUUCCAACAAUAAAACAGCACAGUGCCGUGAACAUUUUCAUUUAGGCCCUAUAUUAAAUUAGAUGCUUUUAUUUUCAUUGCACACAUAAUACAAUGAAACUUGGUUUAGAGUUCCACUUCACUUUCUAGCAGCAUGAGGAGAUUUUAAAAGAAAUACUAUAAAUACUAUGAAUAUAGGAUUAAAGUUGUUAAAAAUAGGGAUGUGUUAAGAAAGUAUAGUACAGGUACAACAAUAUACACAGAAAAUAUACAUUGGCAGUUAGCAUUAAAAAUAAUAGGAUCUUGGUAACUGGUGGUUUUGCUGACAUUUAUUGCACUUUGAUGCCAUAUAUUGCGCUGUUGUUUGAGUUUUCAUUAAUGCAUAUGAAACUAUGGGCACAACUCCAGCAGGCUCUAUCUGUUUGGAUUUGAAAAUGUGCUGAUUGUCCAGGUCUUACACACAGUAAUCUGGCUGGAAUGUUGUCCCACUGAGUAAGUCUUAAUUAAAAGUAAUGGAAAAUCAUACGUGGGGCAAUGGCCGGGGAAAUGAAAGUAAACGAUUUUUAGAGUUGUAAAGACUCACCUGACACUGCGGCAGUUAGUCUGCUUAAAAGAAACAUCAGUAUUUCUGUCAGUUAGUUUGGUGGUCAGACAGAUCGAGUGCUUUUAUGUUGUCGUGUUCAUACAGAUGAUGAAUCCCUUUUUUCCACUUCACCACCGACAUGUGAUGCAUUCGCCACGUGUUUCAUGAAAAUGCAUGCAGCAUCAACUAUCAUGUUUUCAUCAACUAUCAAAUUGUUCAGCUAGUUCAUGGCACAAAAUUCCCAGUUUUCCCAGAAUUCCUCGUUUUCUGGGUUUUUUUCUCCAAUAAAAAUAAUUGGACAAUUUUGCAACCUGCACAAUUCUCACUUUUCUUAACCGAGUCACACAAUUCCACUAUCAACACACUCCACUCAUCCUGGACAAACCAACAAUGUUACCGGUUCAAAAAUUCCCUUUUUGUUUGGAAUUUCCGCAUUUAAAACUGCAAUAUGUCCACUCUUUUUUCUUUCGACGACUUCCCACAUUUUUCAGCUGUUUUAAACCAUUCCACCAUCAAAGAUAAUGUCUGAAACAUGCCAGCAUGCUAACGCUAGCAUUUUAAUGUUAGCAAUGUGACUUUAUUGGUUAAUUUUGCAG
Long non-coding RNA from Nerophis ophidion (straightnose pipefish), 4320 nucleotides. RefSeq lists it as uncharacterized. The record is from RefSeq and is a predicted model, not a curated record. NCBI's taxonomy places the organism in Eukaryota, Metazoa, Chordata, Actinopteri, Syngnathiformes, Syngnathidae. The transcript has 3 exons.